UCUACGGGAGGCAGCAGUGAGGAAUAUUGGUCAAUGGGCGCGAGCCUGAACCAGCCAAGUAGCGUGAAGGAUGACUGCCCUACGGGUUGUAAACUUCUUUUAUCAAGGAAUAAAGUGAGGCACGUGUGCCUUUAUGUAUGUACUUUAUGAAUAAGGAUCGGCUAACUCCGUGCCAGCAGCCGCGGUAAUACGGAGGAUCCGAGCGUUAUCCGGAUUUAUUGGGAUUAAAGGGAGCGUAGAUGGGUUGUUAAGUCAGGUGUGAAAGUUUGCGGCUCAACCGUAAAACUGCAGUUGAUACUGGCAGUCUUGAGUACAGUUGAGGUAGGCGGAAUGCGUGGUGUAGCGGUGAAAUGCUUAGAUAUCACGAAGAACUCCGAUUGCGAAGGCAGCUUACU
RNAcentral lists this ribosomal RNA (395 nucleotides) under uncultured bacterium. Its description in RNAcentral is "partial 16S ribosomal RNA". It matches the Rfam family "Bacterial small subunit ribosomal RNA", at positions 338 to 730 of the family's 1533-position model. The record is from RNAcentral.